This 1795-nucleotide ribosomal RNA is filed under the name uncultured bacterium. RNAcentral's name for it is "bacterial SSU rRNA". The stretch from base 378 to 1795 matches the Rfam family "Bacterial small subunit ribosomal RNA". The record is from RNAcentral.
UCGCCGCAGCCGAACGACCGAGCGCAGCGAGUCAGUGAGCGAGGAAGCGGAAGAGCGCCCAUUACGCAAACCGCCUCUCCCCGCGCGUUGGCCGAUUCAUUAAUGCAGCUGGCACGACAGGUUUCCCGACUGGAAAGCGGGCAGUGAGCGCAACGCAAUUAAUGUGAGUUAGCUCACUCAUUAGGCACCCCAGGCUUUACACUUUAUGCUUCCGGCUCGUAUGUUGUGUGGAAUUGUGAGCGGAUAACAAUUUCACACAGGAAACAGCUAUGACCAUGAUUACGCCAAGCUAUUUAGGUGACACUAUAGAAUACUCAAGCUAUGCAUCCAACGCGUUGGGAGCUCUCCCAUAUGGUCGACCUGCAGGCGGCCGCACUAGUGAUUAGAGUUUGAUCCUGGCUCAGGAUGAACGCUAGCGGCAGGCUUAACACAUGCAAGUCGAGGGGUAUAAGUCUUCGGAUUUAGAGACCGGCGCACGGGUGCGUAACGCGUAUGCAAUCUACCUUUCACAGAGGGAUAGCCCAGAGAAAUUUGGAUUAAUACCUCAUAGUAUAGUACCUUGGCAUCAAGGAACUAUUAAAGAUUUAUCGGUGAAAGAUGAGCAUGCGUCCCAUUAGCUAGAUGGUAAGGUAACGGCUUACCAUGGCUACGAUGGGUAGGGGUCCUGAGAGGGAGAUCCCCCACACUGGUACUGAGACACGGACCAGACUCCUACGGGAGGCAGCAGUGAGGAAUAUUGGUCAAUGGGCGCAAGCCUGAUCCAGCCAUGCCGCGUGCAGGAAGAAGGUCCUAUGGAUUGUAAACUGCUUUUAUACAGGAAGAAACACCUCUACGUGUAGAGACUUGACGGUACUGUAUGAAUAAGGACCGGCUAACUCCGUGCCAGCAGCCGCGGUAAUACGGAGGGUCCAAGCGUUAUCCGGAAUCAUUGGGUUUAAAGGGUCCGUAGGCGGCCAAAUAAGUCAGUGGUGAAAGCCCAUCGCUCAACGAUGGAACGGCCAUUGAUACUGUUUGGCUUGAAUUAUUAGGAAGUAACUAGAAUAUGUAGUGUAGCGGUGAAAUGCUUAGAGAUUACAUGGAAUACCAAUUGCGAAGGCAGGUUACUACUAAUAUAUUGACGCUGAUGGACGAAAGCGUGGGGAGCGAACAGGAUUAGAUACCCUGGUAGUCCACGCCGUAAACGAUGGAUACUAGCUGUUCGGAGCAAUCUGAGUGGCUAAGCGAAAGUGACAAGUAUCCCACCUGGGGAGUACGCACGCAAGUGUGAAACUCAAAGGAAUUGACGGGGGCCCGCACAAGCGGUGGAGCAUGUGGUUUAAUUCGAUGAUACGCGAGGAACCUUACCAAGGCUUAAAUGUAGUUUGACCGAUUUGGAAACAGAUCUUUCGCAAGACAAAUUACAAGGUGCUGCAUGGUUGUCGUCAGCUCGUGCCGUGAGGUGUCAGGUUAAGUCCUAUAACGAGCGCAACCCCUGUUGUUAGUUGCCAGCGAGUCAUGUCGGGAACUCUAACAAGACUGCCAGUGUAAACUGUGAGGAAGGUGGGGAUGACGUCAAAUCAUCACGGCCCUUACGCCUUGGGCCACACACGUGCUACAAUGGACGGUACAGAGAGCAGCCACUGGGUGACCAGGAGCGAAUCUACAAAACCCGUUCUCAGUUUCGGAUCGGAGUCUGCAACUCGACUCCGUGAAGCUGGGAAUCGCUAGUAAUCGGAUAUCAGCCAUGAUCCGGUGAAUACGUUCCCGGGCCUUUGUACACACCGCCCGUCAAGCCAUGGAAGCUGGGGGUGCCUGA